GAUGAAGAACGUAUCGAAAUGCGAUAAGUAAUGUGAAUUGCAGAAUUCAGUGAAUCAUCGAAUCUUUGAACGCACCUUGCGCCCUUUGGACAUUCCGAAGGGCAUGCCUGUUUGAGUAUCAUGAACACCUCAACUCUCACGGCUUGUCCGUGAUGAGCUUGGACUUUGGGGGUCUUGCCGGCCUGUGGUCGGCUCCUCUCAAAUGGAUCAGCUUGCCAGUGUUUGGUGGCAUCACAGGUGUGAUAACUAUCUGCGCUUGUGGUUUUCCAUCAGAUAACCUUCAGUGAUAUGGAGGUUCGCUGGAGCUCACAAAUGUCUCUCCUUAGUGAGGACAGCUCUUUGAACGUUUGAUCUCAAAUCAGGUAGGACUACCCGCUGAACUUAAGCAUAUCAAUAAGCGGAGGA
This 405-nucleotide unclassified non-coding RNA is filed under the name soil metagenome. RNAcentral describes it as "partial contains 5.8S ribosomal RNA, internal transcribed spacer 2, and large subunit ribosomal RNA". The stretch from base 1 to 121 matches the Rfam family "5.8S ribosomal RNA", at positions 35 to 154 of the family's 154-position model. The record is from RNAcentral.